Molecule: non-coding RNA, 94 nt
Organism: Brachypodium distachyon (stiff brome)
Lineage: Eukaryota; Viridiplantae; Streptophyta; Magnoliopsida; Poales; Poaceae
Source: Rfam
UUAUUACUCCCUCCGUCCUGAAAUAAGUGACGUGAAUUUGUAUAAGAAUCUAUGCAAAUCCACGUCACUUAUUUUGGGACGGAGGGAGUAUUUA